Molecule: long non-coding RNA, 225 nt
Filed under: Olea europaea (common olive)
Lineage: Eukaryota; Viridiplantae; Streptophyta; Magnoliopsida; Lamiales; Oleaceae
Description: long non-coding RNA (OEUR_LNC002089)
Source: RNAcentral
AAUAAUAAAAAGGAAAUAUUUCAUACAAUAUAUUACAAAUAUGGCAAAAUAAUUGAGAAAAUGCAAAGUUAUAGAUAAAACCUUUUUGAAGCUUGGUCUUUGAAUUUUCCGAAUAUUUAUCUACUUUACAUGUAUUCUCCUUGUGCUCUAGAUUUUACUCCCAAAAAUACCUAGGAAAAGAAAAGAAGAAAGAAAAAAAGAAAAAAAAAUGAAAAUGAAAAUGAG